CCCAUCAGCUCCCUUACCCAUCGGAUCUAAAUCCUGGUUGAGUGGUUUUAAAAGGAUGAAAAGUAAAAUUGAAACUCAAUUAAUUUAUGACACACGAGCUAGUUUAAAACAAAC
Molecule: small nucleolar RNA, 114 nt
Filed under: Echinops telfairi (small Madagascar hedgehog)
Lineage: Eukaryota; Metazoa; Chordata; Mammalia; Afrosoricida; Tenrecidae
Description: Small nucleolar RNA SNORA61 (ENSETEG00000024597.1)
Source: RNAcentral